Molecule: ribosomal RNA, 344 nt
Filed under: uncultured prokaryote
Description: bacterial SSU rRNA
Rfam family: Bacterial small subunit ribosomal RNA
Source: RNAcentral
GGCAUGGAGCACUCUGACCAGCCAUGCCGCGUGCAGGAAGACNGCCCUAUGGGUUGUAAACUGCUUUUAUAGAGGAAGAAACCCCACCACGUGUGGUGGGCUGACGGUACUCUACGAAUAAGGACCGGCUAACUCCGUGCCAGCAGCCGCGGUAAUACGGAGGGUCCAAGCGUUAUCCGGAAUCAUUGGGUUUAAAGGGUCCGUAGGCGGGCAAUUAAGUCAGAGGUGAAAUCCCACAGCUCAACUGUGGAACUGCCUUAGAUACUGGUUGUCUUGAGUUAUAUUGAAGUGAGUAGAAUAUGUAGUGUAGCGGUGAAAUGCUUAAAUAUUACAUAGAAUACCAU